This 451-nucleotide ribosomal RNA is filed under the name uncultured organism. RNAcentral's name for it is "partial 16S ribosomal RNA". It matches the Rfam family "Bacterial small subunit ribosomal RNA", at positions 329 to 797 of the family's 1533-position model. The record is from RNAcentral.
ACGUACACUCCUGCGGGAGGCAGCAGUGGGGAAUAUUGGACAAUGGGCGCAAGCCUGAUCCAGCCAUGCCGCGUGAGUGAUGAAGGCCCUAGGGUUGUAAAGCUCUUUCACCGGAGAAGAUAAUGACGGUAUCCGGAGAAGAAGCCCCGGCUAACUUCGUGCCAGCAGCCGCGGUAAUACGAAGGGGGCUAGCGUUGUUCGGAAUUACUGGGCGUAAAGCGCACGUAGGCGGAUCGAUCAGUCAGGGGUGAAAUCCCAGGGCUCAACCCUGGAACUGCCUUUGAUACUGUCGAUCUGGAGUAUGGAAGAGGUGAGUGGAAUUCCGAGUGUAGAGGUGAAAUUCGUAGAUAUUCGGAGGAACACCAGUGGCGAAGGCGGCUCACUGGUCCAUUACUGACGCCGAGGUGCGAAAGCGUGGGGAGCAAACAGGAUUAGAUACCCCGGUAGUCCC